RNAcentral lists this long non-coding RNA (1248 nucleotides) under Struthio camelus australis. RNAcentral's name for it is "lncRNA (ENSSCUG00000015337.1)". Lineage: Eukaryota; Metazoa; Chordata; Aves; Struthioniformes; Struthionidae. The record is from RNAcentral.
UUUUUGAAAUUCAAGGAAUGUAUAUGUUGCUUAAAAAUAUAAAUAGACACAACUUUUCCCACAUAAAGUUUUUAUUUAAGUAGAAGCAUUAUGUUUUUGGUCCCUGAAAUCCUCUUUCUCCCCAUAAAUACAUUCACACUAAAUACCUGAAGACUUGGGUGGAACUGACUCUGCUCAAGAAAAAGUUAUAGGUGAAAUAGCAGAGGGUAGGAGAGCCAAGAGGAAGAGAAGACCUACCAUUUCUCUUAGAGGACACUUUCCUUGGGUGUUUGCAGUGAGCUUUGAGGGUUAAGGCUACGACCGAAUACAGAAAUAAAGUGUAUGAAUUCCUCUUUGGAGGGCUGGUACCUCAACUCUGGGCUGCAAAGCUGUUCCUAAUUUUAGGCCCUAUUUCUCUUCCCUAUAAAUAGCUUCUAAUUUUUCCCUAGAGAGAAGGAAACCCCUCUUUCCAAAGGCAGAAGAGAUGCUCAGUCAUUGCCAGGUUCUGUCCAAAUUUGGGGUUUUGCCCAAUUUGUCCCCUACCUCUAACUAGCAAGGGUAGGGAGGGAGAAGGAGCUUCAUUCUCUUCAGCCAGCUUCCACUGUGCUCAUAUGGUCAUUGUGUCAUUUCACCCUGCACAGAGGAAGUUGAAGCUAAACAAAUCCAGGCAUAAUGGGUGAAUUUUGCUGUGGUGGAGAAUUCUACCCCUAGAUUCUGGGUGUUAAUAAAAUCCUAUUUGGGAGGUAUAGAUCUUCUGGGAAAGGCAGGGAGCUGGACCUAUCCAGCAUGCAGAGGAAUCCAGUCAUGGGGUGGAGCAGGGUAGCAGGACUCACAAGCUAACUGCUGUUUGUCUGUCUGUCUUCCAGGUUCCAAAGACCCCUCAGGAUCUCCCAGUGCUGCCAGUGAGUAUAUUGUUGCGACUGUCCCUCAGCUGAAUCCUACUGCAUCCGCCUUUUUCCCUUUACUAGGUUCGAGGGACAAACAAGAGCCAUGCUGAGUCCCUUUGUCUACUCACCCUUUUCGCCAUCAAUGCUGCAAUCCCUGAAACGCUGUCGGCUGGAGCACGUGUAGCAGAAGGGCUGGCUUUCACAAGCUGUUGGAGUAGGAGACAUGAGGGAGAUCAGGCCUCCUGCACAGGCAUCAAGAUUAAAAGGGAAGUUGCCAAUGCCUUUGUGAGAAGGCAGAAGAGAUCCAACUUGCAUGAAAGGUAACAACUCAUGAGUCAGGCUGAGGGCUAGACCCUGGAUUUGUUGUAAAGACAGGGUGGGA